This 320-nucleotide ribosomal RNA is filed under the name Gammaproteobacteria bacterium. RNAcentral's name for it is "partial 23S ribosomal RNA". It matches the Rfam family "Bacterial large subunit ribosomal RNA", at positions 2611 to 2925 of the family's 2925-position model. The record is from RNAcentral. Lineage: Bacteria; Pseudomonadati; Pseudomonadota; Gammaproteobacteria.
UUAGAACGUCGUGAGACAGUUCGGUCCCUAUCUGCCGUGGGCGCAGGAGAUUUGAGAAGAGUUGCUCCUAGUACGAGAGGACCGGAGUGAACGAACCUCUGGUGUUCGGGUUGUUACGCCAGUAGCAUUGCCCGGUAGCUAUGUUCGGACAGGAUAACCGCUGAAAGCAUCUAAGCGGGAAGCCUCCUUCGAGAUUAGAUCUCCCACAGGACUUGAUCCUGCUGAAGUGCCGUUGAAGACGACGACGUUGAUAGGUUGGGUGUGUAAGCGCUGUGAGGCGUUGAGCUAACCAAUACUAAUUGCACGUGAGGCUUGACCAU